RNAcentral lists this unclassified non-coding RNA (329 nucleotides) under soil metagenome. RNAcentral describes it as "partial contains 5.8S ribosomal RNA, internal transcribed spacer 2, and large subunit ribosomal RNA". The stretch from base 1 to 120 matches the Rfam family "5.8S ribosomal RNA", at positions 35 to 154 of the family's 154-position model. The record is from RNAcentral.
GAUGAAGAACGCAGCGAAAUGCGAUAAGUAAUGUGAAUUGCAGAAUUCAGUGAAUCAUCGAAUCUUUGAACGCACAUUGCGCCCCCUGGUAUUCUGGGGGGCAUGCCUGUCCGAGCGUCAUUACAACCCUCAAGCUCAGCUUGGUGUUGGGCCCCGCCGCCCCGGCGGGCCCUAAAGUCAGUGGCGGUGCCGUCCGGCUCCGAGCGUAGUAAUUCUUCUCGCUCUGGAGGUCCGGUCGUGUGCUCGCCAGCAACCCCCAAUUUUUUUCAGGUUGACCUCGGAUCAGGUAGGGAUACCCGCUGAACUUAAGCAUAUCAAUAAGCGGAGGA